This 496-nucleotide ribosomal RNA is filed under the name uncultured bacterium. RNAcentral describes it as "partial 16S ribosomal RNA". It matches the Rfam family "Bacterial small subunit ribosomal RNA", at positions 30 to 523 of the family's 1533-position model. The record is from RNAcentral.
AUUGAACGCUGGCGGAAUGCUUUACACAUGCAAGUCGAACGGUAGAGGGGGCAACCCCUCGAGAGUGGCGAACGGGUGAGUAAUAUAUCGGAACGUGCCCUGUCGUGGGGGAUAACGUAGCGAAAGUUACGCUAAUACCGCAUACGAUCUAAGGAUGAAAGCGGGGGAUCGCAAGACCUCGCGCGAUUGGAGCGGCCGAUAUCGGAUUAGGUAGUUGGUGGGGUAAAGGCCCACCAAGCCAACGAUCUGUAGCUGGUCUGAGAGGACGACCAGCCACACUGGAACUGAGACACGGUCCAGACUCCUACGGGAGGCAGCAGUGGGGAAUUUCGGACAAUGGGCGAAAGCCUGAUCCAGCCAUUCCGCGUGCAAGAUGAAGGCCCUCGGGUUGUAAACUGCUUUUGUACAGAACGAAAAAGUUUCUACUAAUACUAGGAGCUCAUGACGGUACUGUAAGAAUAAGCACCGGCUAACUACGUGCCAGCAGCCGCCGUAA